Molecule: ribosomal RNA, 857 nt
Filed under: uncultured bacterium
Lineage: Bacteria
Description: bacterial SSU rRNA
Rfam family: Bacterial small subunit ribosomal RNA
Source: RNAcentral
UCUGGUACUUGUAUCAGAAUGAAGAGUAGCGAACGGGUGAGUAACGCGUGGGUAACCUACCUCUUAGCGGGGGACAACUAUUGGAAACGAUAGCUAAUACCGCAUAACAAUAUUAAACACAUGUUUAACAUUUGAAAGUACCAAUUGGUACACUAGGAGAUGGACCCGCGUUGUAUUAGCUAGUUGGUAGUGUAAUGGACUACCAAGGCGAUGAUACAUAGCCGACCUGAGAGGGUGAUCGGCCACAUUGGGACUGAGACACGGCCAAACUCCUACGGGAGGCAGCAGUAGGGAAUCUUCGGCAAUGGACGAAAGUCUGACCGAGCAACGCCGCGUGAGUGAAGAAGGUUUUCGGAUCGUAAAACUCUGUUGUUAGAGAAGAACGUUGUGUAGAGUGGAAAAUUACACAAGUGACGGUAUCUAACCAGAAAGGGACGGCUAGCUACGUGCCAGCAGCCGCGGUAAUACGUAGGUCCCGAGCGUUGUCCGGAUUUAUUGGGCGUAAAGCGAGCGCAGGUGGUUUAAUAAGUCUGAUGUAAAAGGCAGUGGCUCAACCAUUGUGUGCAUUGGAAACUGUUAGACUUGAGUGCAGUAGAGGAGAGUGGAAUUCCAUGUGUAGCGGUGAAAUGCGUAGAUAUAUGGAGGAACACCGGUGGCGAAAGCGGCUCUCUGGACUGUAACUGACACUGAGGCUCGAAAGCGUGGGUAGCAAACAGGAUUAGAUACCCUGGUAGUCCACGCCGUAAACGAUGAGUGCUAGUUGUUUGGGGCUAUCCAGCCCUAAGUGACGCAGCAAACGCAUUAAGCACUCCGCCUGGGGAGUACGACCGCAAGGUUGAGACUCAAAGGAAUUGACG